GGUGGGCAUUGUCACAACCACAAGAGUUUUUCCUCAGGGAUCCUCUGCUGACACAGCUCCAGGAGUCUCAAGCAAUGGAAUUCCUCCAGAACUCGUUGAAUUGCCAUCAAAACAGCCAGAAGUAACAG
Long non-coding RNA from Erinaceus europaeus (western European hedgehog), 128 nucleotides. RefSeq lists it as uncharacterized. The record is from RefSeq and is a predicted model, not a curated record. NCBI's taxonomy places the organism in Eukaryota, Metazoa, Chordata, Mammalia, Eulipotyphla, Erinaceidae. The transcript has 3 exons.